RNAcentral lists this transfer RNA (69 nucleotides) under Dermophis mexicanus (Mexican burrowing caecilian). Its description in RNAcentral is "tRNA-Val". It matches the Rfam family "tRNA". Rfam says of the family: Transfer RNA (tRNA) molecules are approximately 80 nucleotides in length. Their secondary structure includes four short double-helical elements and three loops (D, anti-codon, and T loops). Further hydrogen bonds mediate the characteristic L-shaped molecular structure. tRNAs have two regions of fundamental functional importance: the anti-codon, which is responsible for specific mRNA codon recognition, and the 3' end, to which the tRNAs corresponding amino acid is attached (by aminoacyl-tRNA synthetases). tRNAs cope with the degeneracy of the genetic code in two manners: having more than one tRNA (with a specific anti-codon) for a particular amino acid; and 'wobble' base-pairing, i.e. permitting non-standard base-pairing at the 3rd anti-codon position. Lineage: Eukaryota; Metazoa; Chordata; Amphibia; Gymnophiona; Dermophiidae. The record is from RNAcentral.
CAAAAUGUAGUUUAAAUAAAACACUUCGCUUACAACGAAAAAACAUCCAAUAAUAAAGGAUCAUUUUGA